GUCAGUGGGUCUCAGCCCUGGGUGCACAUUAGGAUUCUCUGGGGGCUGUUUGAAGUAGCAAAGCCUGUCCUCCAUACUCAGAGCAUCUGCUAUAAUUGGCCCUGGCUGGGGCUCGCGUGUCAGUGGUCUUAAACGCUCUCCAGUUGAUGCUCACAUGCAGCCAGUGUGAAGACCCACUGAGCUAGGACAACGGUUCUCACUUCGGUGUGUGUCACAUCCUCUGGAGAGCUCACCAUGGACACAGAGGGCCCGCUUGCCGAGGAGGAUAGUCCUAGGCUUGGUGAGAAUAACCAAGUUCCCAGGCAGUUGUGAAACUGGCCAAAGCAGGAGCAGCUCUGGUCUCAAGGAACGGCUGUGAGGGGUCCCCGCAGCCUCCCAGGCAGCUCUCCCUUCUCCCUCAUUCUUCUUCUUCCUCAAUGCUGCUUGGCCAGCACCACGGCUCCUAAAGCACAAGGAACGAGAGAUUCUCAGAACUGGAAGGAACAGAGGCAUCUUUGAGCACGGUAAACAGGGGUCUGCCAGCCAAACCCAGCUCAUGGGGUGUGUGUGUGUGAGCUUGUUUUAAUCUGUAUGCUUGUUUCUUAAAAAAGCAUUGAAUCCAUUGCCAACAUUUUUUUAAGGAGAUUUUACAUAAAAAUCUAGAUUUCUAGAUUCUCCGGGAAAAUCAGGGACUCUAGCAACAAGCACCCCACAUUCCUGCAUGGCAGCAAUUGGCUGGAACUGCCCCUUAAAAUGGGGCAUGUGUCCCUCAGUUUCCCGUAGUCCCCACGUGACUCAUUUUUGAGGCCAGUGUGGCCGGGGCGGGGGACGGAGGGGAGAAGAGUCAGAGAGGUCAAAGAGGUACUGAGUGGGCCACAAGGCAAAGGUCUUGGGGACCACUGGGGAGUUUUAUGCAGAGCAGUGACAAGAUCCAAGUUAUGCGUAACAGGGUCCCUGUGGCUGCUGCGUGGAGAAUGGACUGAAGGGGACAAGGAUGACAAGGGGCAAGUGGAGAAGCAAGGCAUCCAUUUAGGAAGCAAGAGAUGUGGUGGCUUGGACCAGGGGCUUGCAGCAGAGACGGUGAGAAGAGUUGGGGUUCUGGA
Molecule: long non-coding RNA, 1082 nt
Filed under: Equus caballus (horse)
Lineage: Eukaryota; Metazoa; Chordata; Mammalia; Perissodactyla; Equidae
Description: lncRNA (ENSECAG00000052452.1)
Source: RNAcentral